CGAGUGCUCUCCGUUGCCAUGGAGAUGACCCCAGCCGGCAGCCCACACUGACCACACCCUCUGAGGCCCUGCUGGGCGCCUGAGGCUGCUCUGAUUAACUCACAGGUCGGGACUUGUGUGUCAGCCAGCCCUUAGGAAGCGGCUUCUGUUUUGCACUUCAAAGGCGCAUCAGGCAGCUAUCAAAGAAAGAAGAGAAACAGUCAAGGCAUGGAUCUCACAGUCCAGAUUGGAGCCAACAAACCUCUGCUGGUCAAAUGAAGCCACAAAGCAGACAAGGAAACUGAGGCUCAAGGACAUUACCUAACAUCUGCAAGGCCACAAAUUGAGAAAACUGGAAAUCAGGUCUAUCCUGUGCUACAUAAGAAUAAGUAGUUGCAAUACAGGCUGAGAGAGGCUGCUGGGCCAUGGUGACCUAACAUGGUCGGAGCUGGGGGAACAUAUUUGCGAUUGCAUCUCACCAUCCCUCCAACCUCCUGCUGUCGCUUUCCAUUGACAAACACAACAGGAAGCCAAGAACAAGGAAGCAGGUCUCUCUGGAUAUAACCACACCUAACAGGGCGCUGACAAAUGUUUGUUAAACUGAAGUAACUGAUGUUUCCAUAAAUACUCAAGAAAUGCAACAGAGAAAUGAAGGACAGCAAAGGACAACACCAAAAAAAGAGGCACAGGGGAUCAUAAAGGCCCUUGUCCUGAGCUCCACAAGAGAGAGCAGAAGUAGCAACAGAAAGACGGCCUCACUCAGGCUCCUCCAUGAAAACUGAAGCCCAGUGGAAAAGUGAAGAGAAUCUCUGCAAUAAAGGCACACCAGACCACCAUACUUGGAAAGCCAGAGGACAAAGUGCGAGCAACGAUGGAGAAGAUGCAGUAACACUGCAGUAAGCUGUGAAGGACUGCAAGUGAUAGUUACAAAUAUAACCAAGUAGCUGUGAACGUGGAUUUGUGGCCAUGUUGCUCUGGGAAUUGGAACCCAGCAAUGAAUGUGACCACAGCAAUUGACUUCAAGUCUUUCUCACCUCCUCUUCCCCUUGGAUGUGACAGUUUCUCAGACUCCUCAUUUUUGAUAACCUGGACCGUUUUGAGAAGAACCUGUGAGAAAGCUGUACUUCUGUGUAAUUGCACUUACAGCUUCAUUAUAGCACUUGCAAUCUCAUGUUGAAGAUGUGGAGAGAAGAGAACCUUUAUAGGUUUGUAGCAGGACUGCAAUUAGUGCAAUUAAUGCAGCCAUUGAUGCAUCAAUUAGUGCAGCCAUUAAUGAAAGCAUGAAGGUUUCUCAAAAAAACUUAAACAUAGACCUAGCAUAUGAUCCAGUGCUAGCUCUACAGUAUAUCCGAAAGAAAUGGAAUCGGUAUGGCAAGGAGGCAACUGCACACACACAUCCAUUGCAGCACUAAUCAUGAUACGCAAGUUGGAGAAUCAACCUGUGUUCAUCAAGAGACAGGUAAAGAAAAUGGGCCCAUGUGUGCACAGUGGAAUAUGGUCUGGCUUCCACAGAGAAGAAAACCCGGGCAUUUGCAGGAACGUGGAAGGAAUUGGAUGACCUUAUGUUAAGUGAAAUAAGCCAGGCACAGAGAGACAAGUACCACACCAUCUCAUUUCUCUGUGGACUCUGAAAAUGUCAAACUCGAGGAAGCAGAGCGGAGUGACAGUUAACAGUCAUGGAAGUGGACGUGGGAGCAGGACUGGGGAGACGUCUGUCAAAGGGUGCAAAAUUUCUGUUAGAUGGAAGGAGUGAGUUCAAAAAAUCUGCUGUGGAACAUGGUGAGGACAGCUGAUAACAAUGUGUUGUAUCCUAAGAGCAGUGCAGAUUUUAACUAUUCUCACCCAAAUAAUGGAUAAGUAUGUAAAAUAAUGCAUUUGCAAUUAGUUUGAUUUAGCCACUACACAGUGAAUAUAUAUUUCAGAACCUAUGGUAGAUACCAUAAAUAUAAUACAUUCUUUCAAUUUAAAAAUAAUUUAAAAGAAAAUCUUUGUAUAUUAAGAUAAAAAUAUAUUAAAAACUUUGUUGUAUUAUUAAAUAAAAUAUUUUUGUCUUUAUGGGACAAUCCAAUCAUCGAAUCAUAGACUCUAUGUACACAGCAAAAUGCUUUUCAAUGUUUUUGUGCCAUAAGCCACAUAGACCCUGGUUCAACAGGACUCAGAGCAGGAACAGUGGAUUCUACUGAAUCAGCUGCAAUUUCUUGAAGAGUUUCAUAGAAAGAUGAACUGAUCAUAUGAACCAAAGAGAAAAGGGGAUAGAAAAAUAAAUUCAUCAUCUUCAGAAGAGUGAAAUAACCUAGCACAUUCAUAUAUUCUAAAAAUUUAUCUUCUAGUUUUCCACAUAUAGACCUUAAUGUUUUAUUAAGUUUACAGCUAAGUAUUUCAUUUUUUUGUGCUGUAGUAAAUAGCACUUCAAAUUUUAAUUAAAAGUAAUGUUUAGAUUCAAAUUGUUGCCUGGUGAAAUAUGGAAAAGCAAUUUUAUACAUUCACCUUAUAUCCCCUGGCCCUGCUAAAUUUACUUAUUAGUUCUAGAAGUCUUUUUGAGACUUAUUUGUGGUUCUAUAAAUAGACAAUCAGGUCAGUGAGAAUAGAGACAAUUUUAAUUCUUCCUUUAAAAUCUGUACCCUUUUAGUUUCCUUCAUGGGACGGCACCAGUUAGGACUUCUAUGAUGUAAAACAGGGUUGAUAAAAGAAGGUAGCGUCCCUUUCUUGAUCAACUUAGAAGGAAAAUGUCUCAUUCUCAGUGUGAGGGAUUAUGUGUGCUAUAGGAAUUUUUGUAGAUAUAUAGAUUUAAGAAGUAGC
This 2778-nucleotide long non-coding RNA is filed under the name Heterocephalus glaber (naked mole-rat). Its description in RNAcentral is "lncRNA (ENSHGLG00100035114.1)". Lineage: Eukaryota; Metazoa; Chordata; Mammalia; Rodentia; Bathyergidae. The record is from RNAcentral.